This 45-nucleotide transfer RNA is filed under the name Phaeomonas parva. RNAcentral's name for it is "partial tRNA". It matches the Rfam family "tRNA", at positions 23 to 66 of the family's 71-position model. Rfam says of the family: Transfer RNA (tRNA) molecules are approximately 80 nucleotides in length. Their secondary structure includes four short double-helical elements and three loops (D, anti-codon, and T loops). The record is from RNAcentral. Lineage: Eukaryota; Pinguiophyceae; Pinguiochrysidales; Pinguiochrysidaceae.
GCGCCUGACUACGGAUCAGGAGAUUCAGGGUUCGAAUCCCUGUAU